RNAcentral lists this ribosomal RNA (346 nucleotides) under uncultured bacterium. Its description in RNAcentral is "partial 16S ribosomal RNA". It matches the Rfam family "Bacterial small subunit ribosomal RNA", at positions 338 to 701 of the family's 1533-position model. The record is from RNAcentral.
CCUACGGGUGGCAGCAGUAGGGAAUGUUGCGCAAUGGGCGAAAGCCUGACGCAGCAACGCCGCGUGAACGAGACGGACUUCGGGGUGUAAAGAUCUGUAAGUGGGGACGAAAAAUGACGGUACCCACAGAGGAAGCACCGGCUAACGCCGUGCCAGCAGCCGCGGUAAUACGGAGGGGGCAAGCGUUGUCCGGAAUCAGUGGGCGGAAAGAGUUCGUAGGCGGCAUGUAAAGUCAGGUUUUAAAGGCGCCGGCUCAACCUGUGUAUGGCACUUGAUACUUGCAAGAUGGAAUGCUGUAGAGGUAACGGGACUUCCUGGUGUAGCGGUUAAAUGCUUAGAUAUCAGG